GUGGGGAAUUUUGGACAAUGGGCGCAAGCCUGAUCCAGCCAUGCCGCGUGCAGGAUGAAGGCCUUCGGGUUGUAAACUGCUUUUGUACGGAACGAAAAGACUUCUUCUAAUACAGGAGGUCCAUGACGGUACCGUAAGAAUAAGCACCGGCUAACUACGUGCCAGCAGCCGCGGUAAUACGUAGGGUGCAAGCGUUAAUCGGAAUUACUGGGCGUAAAGCGUGCGCAGGCGGUUAUAUAAGACAGAUGUGAAAUCACCGGGCUCAACCUGGGAACUGCAUUUGUGACUGUAUAGCUAGAGUACGGUAGAGGGGGAUGGAAUUCCGCGUGUAGCAGUGAAAUGCGUAGAUAUGCGGAGGAACACCGAUGGCGAAGGCAAUCCCCUGGACCUGUACUGACGCUCAUGCACGAAAGCGUGGGGAGCAAACAGGAUUAGAAACCCUGGUAGUCC
RNAcentral lists this ribosomal RNA (450 nucleotides) under uncultured bacterium. RNAcentral describes it as "partial 16S ribosomal RNA". It matches the Rfam family "Bacterial small subunit ribosomal RNA", at positions 354 to 796 of the family's 1533-position model. The record is from RNAcentral.